Molecule: ribosomal RNA, 468 nt
Filed under: uncultured bacterium
Lineage: Bacteria
Description: partial 16S ribosomal RNA
Rfam family: Bacterial small subunit ribosomal RNA
Source: RNAcentral
GACGAACGCUGGCGGCGUGCCUAACACAUGCAAGUCGAACGGAAAGGUCCGGCUUUUGUGCGCAGCUCGAGUUGCGAACGGGGGAGUAACACGUGAGUACCCUGUACUUGCCUUUGGGAUAACUUCAGGCAACUGGGGCUCUUCUCGGAUAGGAGCUCCUGCUGCAUGGUGGGCGCUGGUAAGAUUCGGCGGUUGGGGAUGGACUAGCGGCCUAGCAGCUUGUUCGUGAGGUAGUGGCUUAGCAAGGCUUAGCCGGGUAGCCGGCGUUGGAGGGUGAGCGGCAACAGCGGGACUGGGAUAGGGACCAGGCUCCGACGGGAGGCAGCAGUGGGAAAGAUUGCACAAUGGGCGGAAGCCAGAUGCAGCAACGCCGCGGGCGGGAGAACGGCCUACGGGUUAGAAACCGCUUUCGCCUUUGACGGAGAGGGUGUGACGGGAACGGGUAAAAAAGCCCCGGCUAACUACGUG